GAAAUGCGAUAAGUAAUGAGAAUUGCAGAAUUCAGUGAAUCAUCGAAUCUUUGAACGCACCUUGCGCUCCUUGGUAUUCCGAGGAGCAUGCCUGUUUGAGUGUCAUGGAAUUCUCAACUCUAUUUGCUUUUGUGAAUAGAGCUUGGAUUUGGAGGUUUAUUGCUGGUACUUGUGAUCGGCUCCUCUUGAAUGCAUUAGCUCGAACCUUUGCGGAUCAGCUAUCGGUGUGAUAAUUGUCUACGCCGUUGCAGUGAAGCAUAUCAAUGGGCUCGGCUUCCAAUCGUCCUUUACUGGACAAUGACUUUGACCUUUGACCUCAAAUCAGGUAGGAUUACCCGCUGAACUUAAGC
RNAcentral lists this unclassified non-coding RNA (350 nucleotides) under plant metagenome. RNAcentral describes it as "partial contains 5.8S ribosomal RNA, internal transcribed spacer 2, and large subunit ribosomal RNA". The stretch from base 1 to 105 matches the Rfam family "5.8S ribosomal RNA", at positions 50 to 154 of the family's 154-position model. The record is from RNAcentral.